AUUGAACGCUGGCGGCGUGCUUAACACAUGCAAGUCGAACGAGAACGGGUUAUAGCUUGCUAUAAUUGUCAGCUAAGUGGCGCACGGGUGAGUAAUGUAUAGGUAAUAUGCCUCUUACUAAGGGAUAACAAAUGGAAACGUUUGCUAAUACCUUAUACUCCUUAUUAACAGAAGUUAAUAAGGGAAAGAUUUAGUGGUAAGAGAUUAGCCUGUAUUGUAUCAGUUAGUUGGUGGGGUAAUGGCUUACCAAGACUAUGACACAUAACUGGUUUGAGAGGAUGAUCAGUCACACUGGAACUGAGACACGGUCCAGACUCCUACGGGAGGCAGCAGUGGUGAAUAUUGCACAAUGGACGAAAGUCUGAUGCAGCAACGCCGCGUGGAGGAUGACACAUUUCGGUGCGUAAACUCCUUUUAUAUAAGAAGAUAAUGACGGUAUUAUAUGAAUAAGCACCGGCUAACUCCGUGCCAGCAGCCGCCGUAA
This 484-nucleotide ribosomal RNA is filed under the name uncultured bacterium. Its description in RNAcentral is "partial 16S ribosomal RNA". It matches the Rfam family "Bacterial small subunit ribosomal RNA", at positions 30 to 523 of the family's 1533-position model. The record is from RNAcentral.